RNAcentral lists this ribosomal RNA (301 nucleotides) under uncultured bacterium. RNAcentral's name for it is "partial 16S ribosomal RNA". It matches the Rfam family "Bacterial small subunit ribosomal RNA", at positions 509 to 807 of the family's 1533-position model. The record is from RNAcentral.
CAGCAGCCGCGGUAAUACGGAGGGAGCUAGCGUUGUUCGGAAUUACUGGGCGUAAAGCGCGCGUAGGCGGUUACUCAAGUCAGAGGUGAAAGCCCGGGGCUCAACCCCGGAACUGCCUUUGAAACUAGGUGACUAGAAUCUUGGAGAGGUCAGUGGAAUUCCGAGUGUAGAGGUGAAAUUCGUAGAUAUUCGGAAGAACACCAGUGGCGAAGGCGACUGACUGGACAAGUAUUGACGCUGAGGUGCGAAAGCGUGGGGAGCAAACAGGAUUAGAUACCCCAGUAGUCCCUGUCUCUUAUAC